Molecule: ribosomal RNA, 203 nt
Filed under: Clostridioides difficile
Lineage: Bacteria; Bacillati; Bacillota; Clostridia; Peptostreptococcales; Peptostreptococcaceae
Description: partial 23S ribosomal RNA
Rfam family: Bacterial large subunit ribosomal RNA
Source: RNAcentral
CCAGGACGCCAGUUUUGGCGGAGCCAUCCUUGGGAUACCACCCUUGUAGUACUGGGACUCUAACCAUAGGCCAUGAAUCUGGUCUUGGGACACUGUCAGGCGGGCAGUUUGACUGGGGCGGUCGCCUCCCAAAAGGCAACGGAGGCGCUCAAAGGUUCUCUCAGUACGGUCGGAAAUCGUACGUAGAGUGUAAAGGCAAAAGA